UGGGGAAUAUUGGACAAUGGGGGCAACCCUGAUCCAGCCAUGCCGCGUGUGUGAAGAAGGCCUUCGGGUUGUAAAGCACUUUAAGUUGGGAGGAAGGGGUGCUGACUAAUAUUCAGCAUCAUUGACGUUACCAACAGAAUAAGCACCGGCUAACUCCGUGCCAGCAGCCGCGGUAAUACGGAGGGUGCAAGCGUUAAUCGGAAUUACUGGGCGUAAAGCGCGCGUAGGCGGCUGAUUAAGUCGGAUGUGAAAGCCCCGGGCUCAACCUGGGAACUGCAUACGAUACUGGUCGGCUAGAGUAUGAGAGAGGGAGGUAGAAUUCCACGUGUAGCGGUGAAAUGCGUAGAUAUGUGGAGGAAUACCGGUGGCGAAGGCGGCCUCCUGGCUUAAUACUGACGCUGAGGUGCGAAAGCGUGGGGAGCAAACAGG
This 429-nucleotide ribosomal RNA is filed under the name uncultured bacterium. RNAcentral describes it as "bacterial SSU rRNA". It matches the Rfam family "Bacterial small subunit ribosomal RNA", at positions 355 to 776 of the family's 1533-position model. The record is from RNAcentral.